This is an unclassified non-coding RNA of Cebus imitator (Panamanian white-faced capuchin), 299 nucleotides long. It matches the Rfam family "Metazoan signal recognition particle RNA". From Rfam's summary of the family: The signal recognition particle (SRP) is a universally conserved ribonucleoprotein. It is involved in the co-translational targeting of proteins to membranes. NCBI's taxonomy places the organism in Eukaryota, Metazoa, Chordata, Mammalia, Primates, Cebidae. The record is from Ensembl.
GCCAGGCGCAGUGGCGCGUGCCUGUAGUCCCAGCUACUCGGGAGGCUGAGGCUGGAGGUUCUCUUGAGCCCAGGAGUUCUGGGCUGUAGUGCGCUAUGCCGAUCGGGUGUCCAUACUAAGUUCGGCAUCAAUAUGGUGACCUCCCGGGAGCGGGGAACCACCAGGUUGCCUAAGGAGGGGUGAACCAGCCCAGGUCGGAACCGGAGCAGAUCAAAACUCCCGUGCUGAUCAGUAGUGGGAUCGCACCUGUGAAUAGCCACUGCACUCCAGCCUGGGCAACAUAGCAAGACCCCGUCUCU